Molecule: ribosomal RNA, 496 nt
Filed under: uncultured bacterium
Lineage: Bacteria
Description: partial 16S ribosomal RNA
Rfam family: Bacterial small subunit ribosomal RNA
Source: RNAcentral
GAUGAACGCUGGCGGCGUGCCUAAUACAUGCAAGUCGAGCGAACGGACGAGAAGCUUGCUUUUCUGAUGUUAGCGGCGGACGGGUGAGUAACACGUGGAUAACCUACCUAUAAGACUGGGAUAACUUCGGGAAACCGGAGCUAAUACCGGAUAAUAUUUGAACCGCAUGGUUCAAAAGUGAAAGACGGUCUUGCUGUCACUUAUAGAUGGAUCCGCGCUGCAUUAGCUAGUUGGUAAGGUAACGGCUUACCAAGGCAACGAUGCAUAGCCGACCUGAGAGGGUGAUCGGCCACACUGGAACUGAGACACGGUCCAGACUCCUACGGGAGGCAGCAGUAGGGAAUCUUCCGCAAUGGGCGAAAGCCUGACGGAGCAACGCCGCGCGAGUGAUGAAGGUCUUCGGAUCGUAAAACUCUGUUAUUAGGGAAGAACAUAUGUGUAAGUAACUGUGCACAUCUUGACGGUACCUAAUCAGAAAGCCACGGCUAACUACGUG